AGAGGGCUAGUCCAAAUAAAGACCUCUGAUUUCGGCUCAGAAAAUUAUGGCUAGACCCAUAGUCCCCUU
Molecule: transfer RNA, 69 nt
Filed under: Amphilius sp. NM-2010
Lineage: Eukaryota; Metazoa; Chordata; Actinopteri; Siluriformes; Amphiliidae
Description: tRNA-Arg
Source: RNAcentral